AAGUCGUAACAAGGUAACCGUAGGUGAACCUGCGGUUGGAUCAUUAAUGUAAAUUAGGGCUUCCGCGACAAAACCGGAGCUGCCACAUGCGGCACCGUUUUGAAGCGUGAAACUUACACACCUCUCGUGAACCGUACAUCAUUUUCCAACGUCUUAUUUAAAAGUCUAAAGUAAAAAGUUGAUCUUAUUCAUUUUACGAAUACGAAAAAACAACUUUUGGCAACGGAUCUCUUGGCUCUC
This 240-nucleotide unclassified non-coding RNA is filed under the name fungal sp. Its description in RNAcentral is "partial internal transcribed spacer region". The stretch from base 1 to 46 matches the Rfam family "Eukaryotic small subunit ribosomal RNA", at positions 1786 to 1831 of the family's 1831-position model. Lineage: Eukaryota; Fungi. The record is from RNAcentral.